GACGAACGCUGGCGGCGUGCUUAACACAUGCAAGUCGUACGGUAAGGCCCUUUCGGGGGUACACGAGUGGCGAACGGGUGAGUAACACGUGAGUAACCUGCCCACAACUUUGGGAUAACGCUAGGAAACUGGUGCUAAUACUGGAUAUGUGCUCCUGCUGCAUGGUGGGGGUUGGAAAGCUCCGGCGGUCGUGGAUGGACUCGCGGCCUAUCAGCUUGUUGGUGGGGUAGUGGCCUACCAAGGCGGCGACGGGUAGCCGGCCUGGGGGGGUGACCGGCCACAUUGGGACUGAGAUACGGACCAGACUCCUACGGGAGGCAGCAGUGGGGAAUAUUGCACAAUGGGCGCAAGCCUGAUGCAGCAACGCCGCGUGCGGGAUGACGGCCUUCGGGUUGUAAACCGCUUUCAGCAGGGACGAAGCUUUUUGUGACGGUACCUGCAGAAGAAGCACCGGCUAACUACGUG
This 465-nucleotide ribosomal RNA is filed under the name uncultured bacterium. Its description in RNAcentral is "partial 16S ribosomal RNA". It matches the Rfam family "Bacterial small subunit ribosomal RNA", at positions 28 to 507 of the family's 1533-position model. The record is from RNAcentral.